This 90-nucleotide transfer RNA is filed under the name Pedosphaera sp. RNAcentral describes it as "tRNA-Ser". It matches the Rfam family "tRNA". Rfam says of the family: Transfer RNA (tRNA) molecules are approximately 80 nucleotides in length. Lineage: Bacteria; Pseudomonadati; Verrucomicrobiota; Pedosphaerae; Pedosphaerales; Pedosphaeraceae. The record is from RNAcentral. RNAcentral also lists the same sequence under 4 other names.
GGAGGGGUGGCAGAGCGGUUGAAUGCGGCGGUCUUGAAAACCGCUUUUCGAGAAAUCGAAACGGGGGUUCGAAUCCCUCCCCCUCCGCCA